GAUUAUGUGAAUCUUAAGGGUCAGAAAAGGAGAUUUGCAUCUGUGAAGCUGUCAUCCUGACACAUUUCAUCCAGGACUUGUGGCAUUUUGUAAAUGCCACCUUAACAAUCAGGGAUGAGUUUUUUAGGAGAUGUGGGAAUACAUUCAGCCACAAGAACUGCCCCACAGCUAUCCUCUUCCUCACAAGCAGCAUUAGAGCAAAUUUAAAGACAUGGUAACAUUCUGAAAAGGAUACAGAGAAAAUGGUUCAAAUUAACUUCUUGUCCCAUCGAGUGCCUGGGUCGGUGCCUGAAGGUGGUGACAGAUUCCUGCUGCCUGGGGCUGCCGUGUCCUUGCCCUCUGGAGAAAGGCAGCUCAGCUCUCUAUCCUGCCCUUCCACCCCUGCUGCCAACAGGAAUAAUCACACCUGUGCUCACGUGGAUCCAUCUGCUGCUUCAUCCUGCCUCAACCAUGGGAAGUCCCAGAUGUGCUCGUGGAUGGUGUUGGGUGCCCAUAAGGGAAGAGGGGAUUUCUCCCUCACCUCCAGGCCAGCUUUUUGA
This 539-nucleotide long non-coding RNA is filed under the name Zonotrichia albicollis (white-throated sparrow). RNAcentral's name for it is "lncRNA (ENSZALG00000005692.1)". The record is from RNAcentral. Lineage: Eukaryota; Metazoa; Chordata; Aves; Passeriformes; Passerellidae.